RNAcentral lists this ribosomal RNA (403 nucleotides) under uncultured bacterium. RNAcentral describes it as "partial 16S ribosomal RNA". It matches the Rfam family "Bacterial small subunit ribosomal RNA", at positions 30 to 526 of the family's 1533-position model. The record is from RNAcentral.
AUUGAACGCUGGCGGCAGGCCUAACACAUGCAAGUCGAGCGAGCGGCGGACGGGUGAGUAAUGUAUGGGGACUGCCCGAUAGAGGGGGAUAACUACUGGAAACGGUGGCUAAUACCGCAUACUGUCGGAUAACCCAUAUGGGAUUAGCUAGUGGGUGGGGUAACGGCUCACCAAGGCGACGAUCCGUAGCUGGUUUGAGAGGACGACCAGCCACACUGGGACUGAGACACGGCCCAGACUCCUACGGAGGCAGCAGUGGGGAAUUUUGGACAAUGGGGGCAACCCUGAUCCAGCCAUCCCGCGUGUGCGAUGAAGGCCUUCGGGUUGUAAAGUACUUUCAGUCGGGAGGCGUUACCGACAGAAGAAGCACCGGCUAACUCCGUGCCAGCAGCCGCGGUAAUUC